GAUGAACGCUGGCGGCGUGCUUAACACAUGCAAGUCGAGCGAUGAAGUUUCCUUCGGGAAACGGAUUAGCGGCGGACGGGUGAGUAACACGUGGGUAACCUGCCUCAUAGAGUGGAAUAGCCUUCCGAAAGGAAGAUUAAUACCGCAUAACGUUGAAAGAUGGCAUCAUCAUUCAACCAAAGGAGCAAUCCGCUAUGAGAUGGACCCGCGGCGCAUUAGCUAGGUGGUGGGGUAACGGCCUACCAAGGCGACGACGCGUAGCCGACCUGAGAGGGUGAUCGGCCACAUUGGGACUGAGACACGGCCCAGACUCCUACGGGAGGCAGCAGUGGGGAAUAUUGCACAAUGGGGGAAACCCUGAUGCAGCAACGCCGCGUGAGUGAUGAAGGUUUUCGGAUCGUAAAGCUCGGUCUUUGGGGAAGAUAAUGACGGUACUCAAGGAGGAAGCCACGGCUAACUACGUGCCAGCCGCCGCCGUAA
This 480-nucleotide ribosomal RNA is filed under the name uncultured bacterium. Its description in RNAcentral is "partial 16S ribosomal RNA". It matches the Rfam family "Bacterial small subunit ribosomal RNA", at positions 28 to 523 of the family's 1533-position model. The record is from RNAcentral.